GGUAUAGUUAAUUCAAAGGAUUUGAGACAACCAUAUGCACAGAAAUUCCAUUUCUCCUGAGCAAACAUGGCAAGCUAGCAUUCAACAAUGGCUGCUAAGAAAAAUACAAAAGCAACUCUACAAUUACAAGAGAGAGAAAGAGAGAGAGAGGUGAAAAUCGACUGCUGAAAGAAGCCCCAACUACCAAAGCACGCAAAGAAAAAAACAGUUGCAAAGAGCAUAAAAUUUUCAAAGUAAAAACCUUUUGCUUCAAAACACACCAAAUCAUAAAGUUUAUUUUCACCUUAUUGAGAAUCAGUAGGGUUUUCAUCUCCACUAUCACUACCUUGUUGCUGGUUUUCUUGAUUGUGUUGCUCUAUGUUCAUCCCUAAUCCAACCCUACUACUGUUAUAAGCAUCAGCACCACCACCCAGUAUCCCCAUAUUGCUCUCUGCAACUCCUAACCCCAGCUGCUGCUGAACCAUCAUGGACCCUAGUUGAACCGGGCUUACCCGGCCACCUCCACUGAAAUUUACUCUCUGCAUAGGUGUUACUCCAGCUGCAGGAAAAGUCCACAUCUGGGGCUCUGGCAUGGCGGCUGUGGUGGUGGUGGUGCCACCUACUGGUAACAUCCAGAAUGCAUUGCUUCCAUUUGUAGCGGCCGGCGCAACUGCCCACAUAGCUGGAGUUGCAAGAAUGUUUGAUGGUCUAAUGGAACCCAGCUCUUGAUGAAAAUGAUCUUGAACUCCAGUUCUUGCAGCAGCUAUUGGUGGCUUAUUAUUAGAAGUUGGGUUAACUGGUUCAGUGGAUUCUUGUUGGGUUGUUGAUGCUGCUGUUGUUUCUUUGAAAAGAUCUUCUCUGUAGGUCUUUAUUCUCAUGUAAUUCUCAUCGGAAACGAGAGUUUGAGGAUAGAGCUGGUGGUGAAAUCCUAACAUUGUAGUGUUGGAACCAAUAACUCUUCGAUUUUCACCUCCAUUAUUGUUAUUAGCAUCAUAGAAAGCUAGACCGCUAUGAAAAGAAAGAGGAGCUGAUUUUGAUGCCGGCGCUGAAAUGGUAGUGCCACUGCUACGUAAGGACACAUUUAGUGUUGAGAAAUUGGCAGGAAUUGUACCAGUUCCAGUAGCUGCAAUUAUUGCUGGUUCUGCUUGUUGUAAGAGCCAUUCAAUUGUUUCUCCAUCAGAUUUAUGGCCUAAUUCUCUGGUAAGCUGAAAGACUCUCGCAGCACAUAAGGCCGGCAUGCGGAUGCGGCGUCCACGGCCAUCCACCUUGGUGUGGCGGUCCUUGGAGGGUCUUUUGGUGGUGGGUUUGGUGAGGGCAGCAGAAUUGGAGUUGGAGGUUGAAGGGUGGACAGUAAUUUGGUUGGAGAUGGAGCCCAUGAAUGGGCCCUGAGCAGUACUAGUAAUGGUGGCGGUAGCAGCAGUAGACCCAUGCUGUUGAAGUUGUGAUGAUUGGUUUUCAAGAGAGACUAAUUGCAGUGAAGCUGCUGAUUCUUGUUUUUGGCCAUGGUGAUCUUUACUGCUACUCUUGAUGUUUUCUUGGUUAUUGCUCUGUGACUCCAUCAACACCAUCUGGGUUUUGAACACUUCAAAGCAAAAUUCUUUCUUCUUCUUCUUCUUCU
RNAcentral lists this unclassified non-coding RNA (1597 nucleotides) under Hevea brasiliensis (rubber tree). The record is from RNAcentral. Lineage: Eukaryota; Viridiplantae; Streptophyta; Magnoliopsida; Malpighiales; Euphorbiaceae.